RNAcentral lists this ribosomal RNA (474 nucleotides) under uncultured bacterium. RNAcentral's name for it is "SSU rRNA". It matches the Rfam family "Bacterial small subunit ribosomal RNA", at positions 26 to 518 of the family's 1533-position model. The record is from RNAcentral.
AGAAUGAACGUUGGCGGCGUGGAUUAGGCAUGCAAGUCGAACGGGCCUGGUAGCAAUAUCAGGUCAGUGGCGUAAGGGUGAGUAAGGCGACGGCAACCAACCCCAUGGUUGGGCAUAGCCGCGGGAAACUGCGGGUAAUUCCCAGCGAUGUUCGUACCGGGCAUCCGGUGUGAACCAAAGUUCUGGCGCCGUGGGACGGGCCGUCGUGGUAUUAGGUAGUUGGCGGGGUAAUGGCCCACCAAGCCUCUGAUGCCUACCGGGCGUGCGAGCGUGGCCCGGCACACUGGGACUGAGACACUGCCCAGACUCCUACGGGAGGCUGCAGUCGAGAAUCUUCGGCAAUGGGCGCAAGCCUGACCGAGCGACGCCGCGUGGAGGAUGAAGGCCUUCGGGUUGUAACUCCUGUCGAGGGGAGGAGGGGUAACCUUGACCUAUCCCUGGAGGAGCACGGGCUAAGUUCGUGCCAGCAGCCGC